UGGGGAAUUUUGGACAAUGGGCGAAAGCCUGAUCCAGCAAUGCCGCGUGUGUGAAGAAGGCCUUCGGGUUGUAAAGCACUUUUGUCCGGAAAGAAAUCCUUGGCUCUAAUACAGUCGGGGGAUGACGGUACCGGAAGAAUAAGCACCGGCUAACUACGUGCCAGCAGCCGCGGUAAUACGUAGGGUGCAAGCGUUAAUCGGAAUUACUGGGCGUAAAGCGUGCGCAGGCGGUUUGCUAAGACCGAUGUGAAAUCCCCGGGCUCAACCUGGGAACUGCAUUGGUGACUGGCAGGCUAGAGUAUGGCAGAGGGGGGUAGAAUUCCACGUGUAGCAGUGAAAUGCGUAGAGAUGUGGAGGAAUACCGAUGGCGAAGGCAGCCCCCUGGGCCAAUACUGACGCUCAUGCACGAAAGCGUGGGGAGCAAACAGGAUUAGAUACCCUGGUAGUCCACGCCCUAAACGAUGUCAACUAGUUGUUGGGGGGUUCAUUUCCUUAGUAACGUAGCUAACGCGUGAAGUUGACCGCCUGGGGAGUACGGUCGCAAGAUUAAAACUCAAAGGAAUUGACGGGGUCAUA
Molecule: ribosomal RNA, 576 nt
Filed under: uncultured bacterium
Lineage: Bacteria
Description: partial 16S ribosomal RNA
Rfam family: Bacterial small subunit ribosomal RNA
Source: RNAcentral